This 431-nucleotide ribosomal RNA is filed under the name uncultured bacterium. Its description in RNAcentral is "bacterial SSU rRNA". It matches the Rfam family "Bacterial small subunit ribosomal RNA", at positions 29 to 506 of the family's 1533-position model. The record is from RNAcentral.
ACGAACGCUGGCGGCAUGCCUAACACAUGCAAGUCGAACGAGACCUUCGGGUCUAGUGGCGCACGGGUGCGUAACGCGUGGGAACCUGCCCCUCGGUUCGGAAUAACACAGAGAAAUUUGUGCUAAUACCGGAUGAUGACUUCGGUCCAAAGAUUUAUCGCCGAGGGAUGGGCCCGCGUAGGAUUAGCUUGUUGGUGGGGUAAUGGCCUACCAAGGCGACGAUCCUUAGCUGGUCUGAGAGGAUGAUCAGCCACACUGGGACUGAGACACGGCCCAGACUCCUACGGGAGGCAGCAGUGGGGAAUAUUGGACAAUGGGCGAAAGCCUGAUCCAGCAAUGCCGCGUGAGUGAUGAAGGCCUUAGGGUUGUAAAGCUCUUUUACCAGGGAUGAUAAUGACAGUACCUGGAGAAUAAGCUCCGGCUAACUCCGU